AACGAACGCUGGCGGCAGGCUUAACACAUGCAAGUCGAACGCCCCCGCAAGGGGAGUGGCAGACGGGUGAGUAACGCGUGGGAAUCUACCUAGUUCUACGGAACAACAGUUGGAAACGACUGCUAAUACCGUAUACGCCCUACGGGGGAAAGAUUUAUCGGAAUUAGAUGAGCCCGCGUAAGAUUAGCUAGUUGGUGAGG
Molecule: ribosomal RNA, 200 nt
Filed under: uncultured bacterium
Lineage: Bacteria
Description: partial 16S ribosomal RNA
Rfam family: Bacterial small subunit ribosomal RNA
Source: RNAcentral